CGUGAACCUUUACUAUAGCUUGACACUGAACAUUGAGCCUUGAUGUGUAGGAUAGGUGGGAGGCUUUGAAGUGUGGACGCCAGUCUGCAUGGAGCCGGCCUUGAAAUACCACCCUUUAAUGUUUGAUGUUCUAACGUGGACCCGUGAUCCGGGUUGCGGACAGUGUCUGGUGGGUAGUUUGACUGGGGCGGUCUCCUCCUAAAGAGUAACGGAGGAGCACGAAGGUUGGCUAAUCCUGGUCGGACAUCAGGAGGUUAGUGCAAUGGCAUAAGCCAGCUUGACUGCGAGCGUGACGGCGCGAGCAGGUGCGAAAGCAGGUCAUAGUGAUCCGGUGGUUCUGAAUGGAAGGGCCAUCGCUCAACGGAUAAAAGGUACUCCGGGGAUAACAGGCUGAUACCGCCCAAGAGUUCAUAUCGACGGCGGUGUUUGGCACCUCGAUGUCGGCUCAUCACAUCCUGGGGCUGAAGUAGGUCCCAAGGGUAUGGCUGUUCGCCAUUUAAAGUGGUACGCGAGCUGGGUUUAGAACGUCGUGAGACAGUUCGGUCCCUAUCUGCCGUGGGCGCUGGAGAACUGAGGGGGGCUGCUCCUAGUACGAGAGGACCGGAGUGGACGCAUCACUGGUGUUCGGGUUGUCAUGCCAAUGGCACUGCCCGGUAGCUAAAUGCGGAAGAGAUAAGUGCUGAAAGCAUCUAAGCACGAAACUUGCCCCGA
This 711-nucleotide ribosomal RNA is filed under the name Salmonella enterica. RNAcentral's name for it is "partial 23S ribosomal RNA". It matches the Rfam family "Bacterial large subunit ribosomal RNA", at positions 2092 to 2802 of the family's 2925-position model. The record is from RNAcentral. Lineage: Bacteria; Pseudomonadati; Pseudomonadota; Gammaproteobacteria; Enterobacterales; Enterobacteriaceae.